Molecule: long non-coding RNA, 2536 nt
Organism: Daphnia pulex (common water flea)
Lineage: Eukaryota; Metazoa; Arthropoda; Branchiopoda; Diplostraca; Daphniidae
Exons: 7
Source: RefSeq, a predicted model, not a curated record
AUCCCCAGCAACGUCUACCUAAAGAAGGAAAGGCCAGUUUGCAUUUCAAUCGAAGGUCAUGGAGAUCAUUACGAAAAGGUGUCAUACAGUGGAGAAGAGGUUGGGUGAGAACGGUACGUUUUGCAUCAUUAUCAAGAAGGUAAAAAAAGCCGCAAGGCUUGAGAGGAGGGGUGAGAAAAAUUUUUAUAAAAGGCGGGAGAAAGUCGAUAGGUAUCAGUCGAGUGAGUGUCUCCGACACGGCAACAGCUGCAGUAUUCGUCGUAAUAUCAGUUCGCAAUUAUGGUUAAUUAUGGCGUUGUGUUGCUGUUGGGUGUUGUAUCGUUGAUGUUGACCACGAGAGAAAAUCUUUUAAAAGGAAAGAAAAAGGGCAACGGAAGUCAAUCGAGUAAGCAUCUCCGAACGGCAGCAGCUGCAUUCUUCGUCGUAUUAUCAGGUCACAAUCACGGAUGAUUUGGUUGUGGCCAGACCCGACCAAAUUUUUUGCUUUCCACUCUCUCCUAAUUAUCUCUCUAAAUGGGUUCCUGAUUUGUUUGAUGAUCGUGUGUCAUCAAAUUUGACUAGAGUUCUGAAUUCUUAGUGAUGGACUGUUUGCAGAAUAAAAUAGAAUUUGACUGAUGAUACAUAUAUUUGGCCAGGAUUCAGACGCUGGCCAGGAUGGCGAUGUUGGUGGAUGAGACGCGUCGCAACCAUCUCUAAUUCACCAAAGUCAAUCUGCAGACGGGUUGGUGAACGCUUGAAGGUCACGGGAUUAGGUAAAACUGUCGUCUGUCGUGCAGUGGUGUGCAGUGCAGUGCAGAGGUUGGGUGAGAACCAUGCAGUGGUGUAGAGGUUGGGUGAGAAAGUCUGUGCAGUGGUGUAGAGGUUGGGUGAGAACCGUGCAGUGGUGUAGAGGUUGGGUGAGAACGACACGUGUUGCUUCAUUUCCAAGCAGGUACAAUUGCCGCAAGGCUUAGGAGGUGAGUCAGGGUAAGAAAAAGUAGUAUAAAAGGAGAGAGAAAAGUCAGUUUGAGAUCAGUCGAGUGAACAUCUCCGACACGGCAACUACUGCUGCGCACCAUUGGUAACCAACCUCCUUCUUCAUCGUUUAACCAGUUCGCAAUCACGGUUAACUAUGGCGUCGUGCUGCUGUUGGGUGUUGUAUCGUUGAUGGCUGGGUCGACCACUGGUGUACCGAUGUCUCCUGGGUCCGCAAUGCUGCUGCCUCCCACACAACAACAACAUACGCAACCACCGGAUACUACACCACCAAGGCUCCAGAGUCCUACCACAACUUAGGAUGCCCCGAGCUACUACACCGAAGCUCUGAAGUAUAACUCUACCCCGAGCCACACCAACAAAGAUCCGGCGUACAACACCAAGGCUCCCAAGUACUACACCACUAAGGCACAGGAAUACUACACGAUUACGUAUGCUGCCCCUGCCUACUACACCGAGGCCCCUAAUUACUACAACACUGAAGCACCCAAGUACUACACUACAACCUACACUGCCCUAAGCUACUACAUUAACGCCCCGAAGGAUUACUCUGCGUAAAAGGAGUCGUUAAAAAAGAAGAUGUAAAAAGGAGUGAGAAAAGCAGGUGCAAUUGCCGCAAGGCUCGAGUUGAAAGGUGAAUCAGGAGAAGGAAAAAUCCGAUUGAACGAGAGAAAGGGCGAUGGAAAACAGUCGAAUGAGCAUAACAACUGGAUUGUUCAUCGUUAAACCAGUUCAUAAUUAUGGUUAACUGUUGCUUCGUUGUGUUGUUGAUCGUUGUAUGGCUGGGUCGACCACUGUGGUCGGUGUACCGAUGUCUCCUGGUUAUAGCUGAUAGCCUGAUACCAAACCGCAAUGCCGCCGCCUAACUACACAACAACUUUAACGACCAGUUACAACACCGAGGCCUAGACCGAGACCCACAAAUACUACACCACCAAGUCACCGAAGUAGGAUACGAUAACUUGCGCUUCGCCGAGCUAAUACACCGAUCCCCCGAAUUAUUACUUUGCCUCCAGUUGCACCACCAAGUCAGCGAAGUACUACACGACUACGUAUCCUGCUUAUCUUACUACACCGAGGCUCCAGCUACUACACCGAGGCUCCAGCUACUACACCGAGACUCCAGCUACUACACCGAGACUCCAGCUACUACACCGAGGCUCCAGCUACUACACCGAGGCUCCAGCUACUACACCGAGGCUCCAGCUACUACACCGAGGCUCCAGCUACACAACCACGACUGAUGCGGUCAAGGUUUACGUAGCCCCAACUUUCUACUCAACUACUGCCCCUUCGUAUUACGUUGAACCGAAAUACUGCACUGAAGCUUCAGGUUACUACACCGAAAAUCUGAAGUAUUACUCUGCUCAUAGUAACUACACCACUAAGGCACCUGAAUAGUACACUAAGACAUACGCUUCUCCAGAUUUCUAGAAGGAUUCUAAAUGCCAGAGCUGAUAUGAUGGAAAAUCUGUACACAUACAUAUACACAAUAUCAUAAUAGUUACUAGUCACUAGGAAUUGUUCUUUGAUGAGAAAAUAAAGUUUUUAAUCUGAGUAA